UCUAUUGGUUUUAGAAACUGA
Molecule: non-coding RNA, 21 nt
Organism: Caenorhabditis elegans
Lineage: Eukaryota; Metazoa; Nematoda; Chromadorea; Rhabditida; Rhabditidae
Source: Ensembl